Molecule: RNA transcript, 2528 nt
Organism: Quercus lobata
Lineage: Eukaryota; Viridiplantae; Streptophyta; Magnoliopsida; Fagales; Fagaceae
Gene name: topless-related protein 4-like
Exons: 13
Source: RefSeq, a predicted model, not a curated record
CGUAAAAAGUCACUUUAUCUAUUCGUGCCCAUCUCUGUUAUUAUCUCCUGUCUCUGCCUUUUGAUUUAGAGAACAUUAUUAAUUCUCAUUUCCUUGUUUCAGUAAUGCUUUCUUUUCAGUUUUAGACAAGUGGGUCACUCAUGCUAGUGCCUAUCAUGACUCACUGCUCUCAUUCCUAUCAUAUUAAUCCACUUUUCCAUCUUGGGUUGAAUUGAUUACUAGGCAUUCCAUAAUUUCUUUGCAAACUUCUUGUAUAACUACUGAAUUAUGAAUAAAAAAAGAAUUCAGAAAAGAAGCAUUUUGUCAAGAUGGUGAGGGCCUCUUAGGACUCUCAUCCUAUCUGACUCCACCAAAAUCUGUUGUCGUCAACUUGAAUCAGGGUUCUGCUGUCAACACUAUGGAUUUUCAUCCAUUACAACAAACUUUGCUUCUUGGUAUAAGCUCUCGCUACUGCCUAUACUUUUAUUUCUUUAAGCUAAGGUUUUGUUCUAUUAUCUGUUUUAUGUUCUAUCAAAUUUAGCUGGAACAAAUGUUGGUGAUAUCUCAAUCUGGGAAGUAGGUAGGAGGGAGAGGCUUGUUUCUUGAAGCUUCAACGUUUGGGAUGUUGGAGCCUGUUCAAUGGCCUUGCAGGUCACUUGAUGAUAGGCUUCAUUGGCAAAUGAUUAUACUACAUCUGUAAACCGUGUGAUGUGGAGUUCUAAUGGUGCCCUUUCUGGCGUUCAAAUUCAAAACAUAAUGUGCUGAGAUAUUACUAUCAUGGUGGUGAUGAUUUGCGGAACCACCUGGAGAUUGACACUCAAGCAGUAAGGUUAAUGAUCUUGCCUUUCCACAUUGAAACAGACAACUUUGCAUCAUAACUUGUGGAGAGGACAAAACUCUUAAGGUGUGGACUACGGAAUGCUGUCACUGGUAAUAAGCUGUACACUUUUGAAGGGCAUAAAGCACCAGUUUACUCUGUGUGCCCUGAUAAUAAGGAGAACAUCCAGGGGGCUCAUGCAUUAAUCAGAACAAGGUUUAUCAAAAAGUGUUAAGAGUUCAUCUAUCCAGCAGAUAUUGAUUAGAAAAUUAAGGCUUGGUUAGAUGAUCGCUUAAAUCAACUACUUAACUGUCGCACAUGGGGCCAAUGUUGCAAGACAAUGGCCUUCAGUGCUGGCGGGAAAAGGCUGUUCAUAUGUGAGACUAAUAAAGAAGGACGAUCAUACCUUUUGGAAUUGGAUGAACAUCAGGUGGCUAUCAAGCAUGUAUAUCAUGGUCUUUGGAAGAGGUCCGUGGGGGUUGUGCCGUUUGAUACAAUGAAGAUCCAGUUCCUGGCUAUCGGUGAUGCAUUCAAAAUAAAAUUUUGGGACAUGGACAAUAGUUACCUCUUGACAACUACUGCUGCAGAGGGUGGAUUACCAGUAAUGCCCAGGGAAGCCCUUUUCUAGAUGUGCUUGGCAGUAUUUUGAAGCUCUUAUAAUUUAACAGUCUUUACCCUGAAUAUCUUUUAGGCUGCUCCUUGCAUUCGAUUUAACAAGGAAGGGAUUGCUGUAUCAACAAGUGAGAAUGGAAUCAAAAUACUUGCAAAUGCUGAUGGUGUAUGGCUUCUACGUUGUAUUGAAAAUCAAGCUGUUGGUACCUCCAGAGUGGCUCCUGCAACUAUUGAAAAGUGAUCUUGCCUUUUUACAUCCCAGCAGACAACUAUGCAUCAUAACUUCUGGAGAGGACAAGACUAUUAAGGGGUGGGAUGCUGUCACUGGUAAAAAGCUGUGCAUGUUUGUAGGGCAUGAAGUACUUGUUUACUCCGUGUUCCCUCAUCAUAAGGAAAACAUUCAGUUCAUAUUUUCAGCAGAUAUCAAUGGGAAAAUUAAGGCUUGGUUAUAUGAUAAUUUGGGUUCAAGAAUAGACUGUGAUGCUCCAGGCCAAUCUUGCAUGACAAUGGCUUACAGUUCUGACAGGACAAGGCUAUUCUCAUGUGGGACUAGUGAAGGAGGGGAAUCAUACUUUGCUGAAUAGAAUGAAAGUGAGGGGGCUAUCAAGCGUGUAUAUAAUGGUCUUUGGAAGGGGUCUGUGGGGCUUGUGCAAUUUGAUACAAUGAAGAACCCGUACCUAGCUACCGGUGAUGAGUUUCAAAUAAAAUUUUGGGACAUGGACGAUGUUAACAUCUUUACAACUACUGCUUUAGAGGGUGGAUUACCGUCUUCUCCUUGCAUUCGAUUUAACAAGGAAGGGAUACUGCUCGCAGUAUCAACAAGAGAGAAUGGAAUCAAAAUACUUGCAAAUGCUGAUGGUCUACAGCUUUUGCGUUCUAUUGAAAAUUAUGCAGUUGAUACCUCCAGAUGAUAGAAGACUUGUAGUUCAUGGGCCUUUUAUUGAAAGGUAUGUUUGUUUGUAAAGUUCAUGAGGUUGAGGACUCAUUUUCAAGCUCUUAUUAGUUAGGAAAUUCUAGAAGUCAAGGACUUUGUUAUGCAAUAGAGAUUUUUAUUAUGUUGUGUUAAUUAUUUUCAUGGAAUUUGAGAGGAUGUGUCUGUUAAAUUCAUUAAAUUGAGUAC